GUUAUAGGGUCAAGCGAACAAGUGCAUGUGGUGGAUGCCUUGGCGAUCACAGGCGAUGAAGGACGCGGUAGCCUGCGAAAAGCUACGGGGAGCUGGCAAACAAGCUUUGAUCCGUAGAUGUCCGAAUGGGGAAACCCACUCCUUUUGGAGUAUCCAUGGCUGAAUACAUAGGCCAUGCGAAGCGAACGCGGUGAACUGAAACAUCUAAGUAACCGCAGGAAAAGAAAUCAACCGAGAUUCCCAAAGUAGUGGCGAG
This 256-nucleotide ribosomal RNA is filed under the name Burkholderia cenocepacia. Its description in RNAcentral is "partial 23S ribosomal RNA". It matches the Rfam family "Bacterial large subunit ribosomal RNA", at positions 1 to 253 of the family's 2925-position model. The record is from RNAcentral. Lineage: Bacteria; Pseudomonadati; Pseudomonadota; Betaproteobacteria; Burkholderiales; Burkholderiaceae.